RNAcentral lists this ribosomal RNA (924 nucleotides) under uncultured bacterium. Its description in RNAcentral is "bacterial SSU rRNA". It matches the Rfam family "Bacterial small subunit ribosomal RNA", at positions 563 to 1498 of the family's 1533-position model. The record is from RNAcentral.
AAGGGUGCGUAGGCGGGUAGGUAAGUCAGUGUGAAUCCUUGAAGCUCAACUCCAGAACUGCCAUGAUACUAUCUAUCUUGAAUAUUGUGGAGGUAAGCGGAAUAUGUCAAGUAGCGGUGAAAUGCUUAGAUAUGACAUAGAACACCCAUUGCGAAGGCAGCUUACUACGCAUAUAUUGACGCUGAGGCACGAAAGCGUGGGGAUCAAACAGGAUUAGAUACUCUGGUAGUCCACGCCCUAAACUAUGGAUACUCGACAUAUGCGAUACACUGUAUGUGUCUGAGCGAAAGCAUUAAGUAUCCCACCUGGGAAGUACGUUCGCAAGAAUGAAACUCAAAGGAAUUGGCGGGGGUCCGCACAAGCGGUGGAGUAUGUGGUUUAAUUCGAUGAUACGCGAGGAACCUUACCUGGGCUAGAAUGCUGGGAGACCGCUAGUGAAAGCUAGUUUUGUAGCAAUACACUGCCAGUAAGGUGCUGCAUGGCCGUCGUCAGCUCGUGCCGUGAGGUGUUGGGUUAAGUCCCGCAACGAGCGCAACCCCUAUCUUUAGUUGCCAACAGGUAAUGCUGGGAACUCUAAAGAAACUGCCGCCGUAAGGUGUGAGGAAGGAGGGGAUGAUGUCAGGUCAUCAUGGCCUUUAUGCCCAGGGCUACACACGUACUACAAUGGGGAAGACAAAGGGCUGCAACAUAGCGAUAUGAAGCCAAUCCCAAAAACUUCCUCUCAGUUCAGAUUGCAGGCUGCAACUCGCCUGCAUGAAGCUGGAAUCGCUAGUAAUCGUAUAUCAGCAAUGAUACGGUGAAUACGUUCCCGGACCUUGCACACACCGCCCGUCAAGCCAUGGGAGUCGGGUGUACCUAAAGUCGGUAACCGUAAGGAGCUGCCUAGGGUAAAAUCGAUGACUGGGGCUAAGUCGUAACAAGGUA